GGGCCCAUAGCUCAGUUGGUUAGAGCAGCUGACUCAUAAUCAGCGGGUCCCAGGUUCGAGUCCUGGUGGGCCCA
This 74-nucleotide transfer RNA is filed under the name candidate division Zixibacteria bacterium HGW-Zixibacteria-1. RNAcentral's name for it is "tRNA-Met". It matches the Rfam family "tRNA". From Rfam's summary of the family: Transfer RNA (tRNA) molecules are approximately 80 nucleotides in length. Their secondary structure includes four short double-helical elements and three loops (D, anti-codon, and T loops). Further hydrogen bonds mediate the characteristic L-shaped molecular structure. tRNAs have two regions of fundamental functional importance: the anti-codon, which is responsible for specific mRNA codon recognition, and the 3' end, to which the tRNAs corresponding amino acid is attached (by aminoacyl-tRNA synthetases). tRNAs cope with the degeneracy of the genetic code in two manners: having more than one tRNA (with a specific anti-codon) for a particular amino acid; and 'wobble' base-pairing, i.e. permitting non-standard base-pairing at the 3rd anti-codon position. Lineage: Bacteria; Pseudomonadati; Candidatus Zixiibacteriota. RNAcentral also lists the same sequence under 3 other names. The record is from RNAcentral.